This 56-nucleotide non-coding RNA is filed under the name Spodoptera frugiperda (fall armyworm). The record is from RNAcentral. Lineage: Eukaryota; Metazoa; Arthropoda; Insecta; Lepidoptera; Noctuidae.
ACAGUCUACCCGGACAGGCCGACUACUGUAUGUCGCACUGGACGGGCAGGCCGCCC